Molecule: ribosomal RNA, 997 nt
Filed under: Lactiplantibacillus plantarum
Lineage: Bacteria; Bacillati; Bacillota; Bacilli; Lactobacillales; Lactobacillaceae
Description: bacterial SSU rRNA
Rfam family: Bacterial small subunit ribosomal RNA
Source: RNAcentral
GGGGGGGACUGUUCUCCGGAUUAUUCGCGCGUAAACGAGCGCACGCCGUUUUUUAGGUCUGAUGUGAUAGCCUUCCGCUCCACCGAAGAAGUGCAUCGAGAAACUGGGAAACUUGAGUGCAGAGUAGGACAGAAGGAACUCCAUGUGUAGCGGUGAAAUGCGUAGAUAUAUGGAAGAACACCAGUGGCGAAGGCGGCUGUCUGGUCUGUAACUGACGCUGAGGCUCGAAAGUAUGGGUAGCAAACAGGAUUAGAUACCCUGGUAGUCCAUACCGUAAACGAUGAAUGCUAAGUGUUGGAGGGUUUCCGCCCUUCAGUGCUGCAGCUAACGCAUUAAGCAUUCCGCCUGGGGAGUACGGCCGCAAGGCUGAAACUCAAAGGAAUUGACGGGGGCCCGCACAAGCGGUGGAGCAUGUGGUUUAAUUCGAAGCUACGCGAAGAACCUUACCAGGUCUUGACAUACUAUGCAAAUCUAAGAGAUUAGACGUUCCCUUCGGGGACAUGGAUACAGGUGGUGCAUGGUUGUCGUCAGCUCGUGUCGUGAGAUGUUGGGUUAAGUCCCGCAACGAGCGCAACCCUUAUUAUCAGUUGCCAGCAUUAAGUUGGGCACUCUGGUGAGACUGCCGGUGACAAACCGGAGGAAGGUGGGGAUGACGUCAAAUCAUCAUGCCCCUUAUGACCUGGGCUACACACGUGCUACAAUGGAUGGUACAACGAGUUGCGAACUCGCGAGAGUAAGCUAAUCUCUUAAAGCCAUUCUCAGUUCGGAUUGUAGGCUGCAACUCGCCCUACAUGAAGUUCGGAUCGCCUAGUAAUCGCCGGAUCAGCAUGCCGCGGGUGAAUACGUUUCCCGGGGCCUUGUACACACCGGCCCGUCACACCAUGAAGAGUUUGUAACACCCAAAGUCGGUGGGGUAACCUUUUAGGAACCAGCCGCCUAAGGUGGGACAGAUGAUUAGGGUGAAGUCGUACAGAGGGGAAACCCGAAAAAAGAAAAU